Molecule: ribosomal RNA, 482 nt
Filed under: Lumbricus rubellus (humus earthworm)
Lineage: Eukaryota; Metazoa; Annelida; Clitellata; Crassiclitellata; Lumbricidae
Description: partial 16S ribosomal RNA
Rfam family: Bacterial large subunit ribosomal RNA
Source: RNAcentral
UGCUCUAAGUAAAAACAAUUUAGAGUAACUCCUGCCCAGUGAUAAUUUCAACGGCCGCGGUAUCCUAACCGUGCAAAGGUAGCAUAAUCACUUGCCCAUUAAUUGUGGGCUAGAAUGAAAGGAUUAACGAAAUAAAAGCUGUCUCUAUAAGAUACCUAAAAAUUACCCUUUAACCGAAGAGUGUUAAAUAACGUCGAAGGACAAGAAGACCCUAUAGAGCUUAAUUAAAACAAAUACACAAAAUUUACUAAAAUUCGGUUGGGGCGACCAGGGAAAUUAUAAAUCAUCCCUAAAUAAAAGAUAAAUCAAUCUAAAUACUGACCCUUAAUCAAGAUCACUAGAACAAGCUACCUUAGGGAUAACAGGCUAAUCCUACUAGAGAGUUCUUAUCAAUAGUGGGGUUUGGCACCUCGAUGUUGGCUUAGGGAAUCUAUGCGGCGCAAAAGUCACAUAAAGAUGGUUUGUUCAACCAAUAACACCCU